UCCCUGGCGGUCCAGUGGUUAAGAAUCUGCACUUCCAUUGCAGGGGGCACAGGUUCAAUUGCUGAUCAGGGAA
Bos taurus (domestic cattle) is the source of this 73-nucleotide non-coding RNA. The record is from Rfam. Lineage: Eukaryota; Metazoa; Chordata; Mammalia; Artiodactyla; Bovidae.